GUUCCGGUAGCUCAGCAGGAUAGAGCAAUAGCCUCCUAAGCUGUAGGUCAAGGGUUCGAAUCCCUUCCGGAACGCCA
This 77-nucleotide transfer RNA is filed under the name Acholeplasmataceae bacterium. RNAcentral's name for it is "tRNA-Arg". It matches the Rfam family "tRNA". From Rfam's summary of the family: Transfer RNA (tRNA) molecules are approximately 80 nucleotides in length. Their secondary structure includes four short double-helical elements and three loops (D, anti-codon, and T loops). Further hydrogen bonds mediate the characteristic L-shaped molecular structure. tRNAs have two regions of fundamental functional importance: the anti-codon, which is responsible for specific mRNA codon recognition, and the 3' end, to which the tRNAs corresponding amino acid is attached (by aminoacyl-tRNA synthetases). tRNAs cope with the degeneracy of the genetic code in two manners: having more than one tRNA (with a specific anti-codon) for a particular amino acid; and 'wobble' base-pairing, i.e. permitting non-standard base-pairing at the 3rd anti-codon position. The record is from RNAcentral. Lineage: Bacteria; Bacillati; Mycoplasmatota; Mollicutes; Acholeplasmatales; Acholeplasmataceae.